RNAcentral lists this unclassified non-coding RNA (9094 nucleotides) under Diabrotica virgifera virgifera (western corn rootworm). RNAcentral's name for it is "kelch-like protein 18". Lineage: Eukaryota; Metazoa; Arthropoda; Insecta; Coleoptera; Chrysomelidae. The record is from RNAcentral.
UUUAACCAGAUUUCUGGAAUUUUGAAUAAUCCAAUUUGUAGAUAACUAAAGUAGAACAAAUACAUUUAACAAAUGUGAGUUAUUUUGUCAAAACAGUUUAACAAGACAAAUAAAUAUAUAUGUGAAAUUUAAUUAUAAAUCAAUAAUCUGAAGAAUGUCCGGGAAAAUUCUGUUUAGAUGAAGUAAAUGUCAAAUUUAUUGAGCAUUGACUGUGACAUUGAGCCUUGCAUUGUUAGAAAAAUUGUUUAAAUAUGGUUAAUAAUAUUUUGGUCUGAUUAGUUUACAGCAUAUUUUUAUCUGUACUUUCCAAAUAUAUUUUAUACAACAAAAUACUCAUGUGUUGAUUUGGGUUUUUAUCUGGGAGUGUUUUUAGAGCAGGAACAGGUUAAUGUAAAUUAACAGAGCAAUGGAUCGGAGUUCACAUUAUGAUGGGCUGGAAAGCAAAUCUCAUUGGAUUGCUGGUGAUAUAACUCGAAAUGUAUUAGAAAUGAAUAAUGAAAACUUGGUUUUCCAACAAAAUGAUCUCUUUCCAUCAGCUUUUCCUAUUAUGGCUGAUAUAAGAAGGCAAGGAAAACUAUGUGAUGUUGUAUUGAAGGUGGAAGGACAGUUUUUCAGUGCUCAUAAGAUAGUAUUGGCAUCAACCAUUCCAUAUUUUCAAGCAAUGUUUAUGAAUGAUAUGAUUGAAUCUCGUAAUAAAGAAAUUGAAAUUAAAUGCAUUGAUGCUUUGGCCCUUGAAGCAUUGGUUAAUUUUGCCUACACAGGAAAAGUGACUCUAGAUAAAAAUAAUGUACAGAGUGUUAUGAUAGGAGCAUCUUAUUUACAAUUAAAUAAAGUCAGAGAUGCCUGUGCCAACUACUUAUUGCAAAGAAUUCACCCACAGAACGCAUUAGGAUUUAGACAUUUUGCAGAUUCAUUAGGCUGUUCCACACUGGCAGAUUCUGCAGAAAAAUAUAUCGAAUCAUAUUUCCAUGAAGUUUCCCAACAUGAGGAGUAUUUAAAUCUUUCUGUGACAGAAAUAAAAGAUAUGUUAACUAAAAAUGAUCUCAGAGUUGAAAGCGAAGAACAAGUUUUCGAAGCUUGUAUGAGAUGGGUGAAACAUGAUGUGGAAAUAAGAAAAGAUUUCUUGCCAGAAUUAUUGUCAUUAGUUAGAUUGCCAUUAUUAUCACCUCUGUACAUUACCGAUAGAGUUAGAAAUGAAGAACAAAUAAGGUAUUCCAUACAAUGCCGGGAUCUCGUAGAUGAAGCUUUAACAUUUCACUUAAUACCAGAACGACGAGCGCUGAUCCAGAGUUUUCGAACGGAACCAAGAGUGUGUGACAUUAAAGGUCACAUAUAUGUUGUCGGAGGCUUAAACAAACACGGGGACUCAUUAUCGACAGUCGAAUAUUAUGAUCCGAAGAAGGACAAAUGGAAUAUGGCACCUCCUAUGUCGAUGAUGAGGUCCAGAUUAGGAGUGGCUGUGAUAAAAAGUAAAUUGUUCGCUUUCGGAGGUUACAAUGGAAAGGACCGAUUAGCAAGUGUUGAAGUUUAUGAUGCGAUUAGGAAAGAAUGGGCGACUGUGGCGUCGAUGAUCUGUAAAAGAAGCGCCCUAGGAGCAACCGCAUUAGGUGACAUCAUAUAUGUAUGUGGCGGAUAUGAUGGUGUGACUUCGUUGAAUUCAGUGGAGAGAUACCAUCCAAGUACCAAUUCUUGGUGUUCUUUGGCACCAAUGAAUAAGUCGAGAAGUGCAGGUGCAGUCAUUGCUUGUCAAGGUUACAUAUACGCUUUAGGUGGCCACGAUGGCUUGUCAAUAUUUGAUUCAGUAGAGAGGUAUAACCCAGCAACUAAUACUUGGACGGAGGCUCCACCAAUGCUCACUAAAAGGUGUAGAUUGGGUGUGGCAAUGUUAGGUGGAAAAUUAUUCGCUUGUGGUGGAUACGAUGGAAGUUCAUUUCUUCAAACUGUGGAAAUGUUUGAUCCAGCCACUAAUAAGUGGGUAUACGUAGCGCCGAUGAACGCCCAAAGGAGUCGAGUAGCUCUAACAGCCAACAUGGGGAAACUAUGGGCAGUAGGUGGAUAUGAUGGUAUAUCUAAUCUUGUAACGGUAGAAGUAUAUGAUCCAAAGAGUGAUAAAUGGAUCUACGCAGCUGACAUGAUAGCACAUGAAGGUGGAGUCGGCUUAGGAGUGAUUUCCAUACCGUGAAAUAUAUAAUUUAAUGAAGCCAUAUUUUUACUAUCAUUAUUCAAAACGUAUUUUUUAAAUUUUUUUGUUUUACCGAUCUGUGAAUUAACAAAAUUUUAAAUUUUUAGUUACACUUUCAAAAGAUCUGCAAGAAUGUGUGUAAUAUUAAAUACCAUUUCUGCUCGUGACUAUUUUUGAAGUGUUGUUAAAGGGUCCCCUGAUAAAGGUUUUAUAUAGUUAUAACAAAAUACCUAACACAAUACUAGUUUCCGAUGUUUUGGAAACUUCUUCUUAAACAUGAUUUUAACUUUAACUUUUUUAAUUAAAAAUAAUCUAUUAAUACCUGAAAAUAACCUGGAAACAAAUCAAUGAGAUAAUUAUUAGAGUACCUAUUACUUGGAAAGGGCAUGUCUUCGAGAUCAUUGGACUACAGGGUGUUAGUAAAUGAGUAUGAAAAACGUUAAAGGGUAAUUCUACAUGGAAAAAUAAUGACAGUUUGCUCUAUAAACGUAUGUCUGCAAAUGCUUCAUUUCCAAGAUACGGGGCGUUGAAUUUUUGUUUUCAAACUGCGAAUUUUUUUAUUGCUGUAAGACCUUUUAAGGGCACCCGAAGUCCCAUUUAACGACAAUGUUAACAUUAUGUAACAUAGCUCUGUAACCAAAGCACUUAGAGAGCAAAUUUUUGAUUUAUUUUGAAGCUAGAUGUAUUGUUUAGUCCCGCGUAGAUUUCUGUAAAGUUAGAGUGAAAGAAACGUAUAUUUUAAAUUUUUUUAAAAUACUCUUACAAAAAAACCCAAAAAAGUUUAGAUUUUAUUUUUUAUUUGACUUAUUUUUGCACAUUUUUCAAUAAAACUUUAAGCGGGACUGAUAUUAUCUAUCUACAACUACUGUAAAAAUUUGGACCUUCUAUCAUCUAACGAUCCAGAGAUAUUUGACAUCAAAAUUUAAAAACCUAGUAUUCGGGAAAUCGCAAAAACAUAAAACCCUCUAAUAGACUAUAAAGCUACCGGUACACGGUAAGUUGAGUGCAGACGUUCAAAAAACAAAUAAUUUUGUAACCAUGGAUAUUUUCUACUAUAAUGUGUUAUAUAUCGUUGAAAAGAGAAGAUUUCAGAGAAUAAUUUUUUCAUAAUAGGUUCUUUUUCAUAAAUUAAACGUGGAAUACAAAAAUAAUUUUUAAUUUGAAAUAUCUCAGUGGCGUACCAUUUUUUUUCUUUAAAAAAGUUCAGACCAUUACCCGUAGGCGCGCCAAUGAUGAUAAUAAAAUUGUUAUUUGUUGGCCAACAAAUGCGCAAUAACUACCUCUUGAAACUCACAAAAUGUAAUUUUCAUAUCUCAACCGGUCUUAGAACAAUAAAACAAUUGGCAGUUUGAAAUAAAAAUUUCAACACCCUGUAUCUCGGAAACAAAGCAUUUGCGGACAUACGUUUAUAGAGCAAACUGCCAUUAUUUUUUUUAUGUAGAAUUAUCCCUUAAAGUUUUUCAUACUUAUUUACUAACACCCUGUAUAUGCGCUAUGAGAAAGUGCAUCAAAAACAGAAAAUAUUCUAUGAAACCCUAUCUGAAACUAUAAAUAGCCGCAAAGAAAUUGUGGUGUUGGGAGAUUUUAAUGCUUGGACAGGGAAAAAAAUAAGUGACAAAAUCGUAGGAAAAUACGGGGACGAUAUAACAAAUAAAAAUUGAUAACACUCUAAUAACAUAAAAACGUACAUAAAUAAACCCGGGUCCAACCAACGAGAAACAUUACGGGGAACGCAGCAAAAUGCAAAAUUUUGACGCAUGUCAAAAUUUUCAAUGUGUUUUAAAUGUAAUCAUUUUUUUUUUCGAAUCCUGAGAAAACUAAUAAGUAUUUUUGAAAAAUUUAAACGCAUAGUGAAAGACUGCUUUAUUACCGAGGGCCGAAAGUCCCUUAGAAUAAAUAAAAAAUUCUUUUGAAUGAAAUAUUUGUAAUUAAAAAUCACACUAAAUUUUCUCUUUUAUUUUCAUCCCUGUAACGUAUUCAAAUAAACAUUAUACAAGUUUUCAGGGACUUUAAGCCCUCGGUAAUAAUGUAAUCUUUCAUUCUGCGUUUAAAUUCUUCAAAAAUAAAUAGUUUUUUCAGAAUUCGAAAAAAUGAUUACAUUUAAAACACAUUGAAAAUUUUGACAUGCGUCAAAAUUUUGCAUUUUGUUCCGUUCCCCUUAAGUCAAUUAUAGAUUAUGUUAUAAUAAAAUGAGAAAAACCAGAAAGCCAACAAAUUCAAAUGUGAACUUACAAUCAACUGAAACUUUCAAAUACUUGUGCGUCCAAGUAACAUAAAAAAACAGGGAGUAAUGAAGAAUAUAUUGCAGGAUUAGCCAAGCAAGAUCAGCCAUUAGGCAUUUGCAUCAUGGAGUAAUAAAAUAACAAAAGAAAAGAAAAAAGUAUAAAACAAUAAUAGAAAGGAUUGUACAGCGACUAAUUCUCGAAAAUAAUUAGAAGAAACAAAUCAAAAAUUGAGGCUCGAAGAACGAAAAUAUUCGGGGAUAAAUGGCAAUUAGUCUAGACAUAAUAGACACAAUUGAAGUCAAAAUACUAAACUGGUAUGGAUACCUGCAGAGAAUGACUGAAAAUAGAUGACCAAAAAGGAAGACCAAGACGGUCCUGGAGAAAAGAUGUCGGAGGACGUCCUCGCAUCUGGACGGCGCAGUUGUAGAACACUGUUUUUUAAUUUCCACAGAAUAUCGCCCACUUAACAUGCUCACUGAAAGAUCAGCUUGCUAAGAACAGUUUUAAACCAUUCUAUUGUGUAAACAGUUUGUACGUAUAUAUAGAUUGUUGUGUUAUUAUGUUUUGUUUAACAGAAACAUGCAUUCCUAUCAAAUAAUUGCCAAUAUUUUUUAUUAAUUGUGCCUUACCCUCAAAGAGUCGUUGGCAUAGUAGUCUGGGCAUAUUAUCGGAAAAGAGGCCAUUUUUGGGAAAAGUUAUUUACCAGCAAUUUUAUUGCUGGAAUCGAAUCUUAUAAUUCUAUAUAUUAAUAAUAUAUCUAUGCAAAGUCCGCAGGUAGUGUGCUACUUUUUUUUAUAAACAAAAAGGCGCCCCCAAAUCGGGUUUUGUUUUCAAUUAUUGCUCUAUAACUUCAUAGAUUUUAACUUUACACCAAAAACACCCAAAUAAAAAUUUACCAUAAUUAAAUUCUGCAUAGACAUGUUUUUCUCGAUUUACUUAGACGAAAAUUUUUUUCGAAAAAUCCGGUUUUCUCCAACAAAAUCUUUAAUUUUCAGCUAAAAUUUUAGGUAAGUAAGUAAUUAUUUAUCAAUAAUUAAAUAACUUGGUCUUAUAAAGCCCUUUUGGUAUAAACUAUUUAUAUCCAGAAGCCGAUGGAAAUUGAAUGAACAGUUUAGCAAAAAUGAAUUUGUUAAUUAUCAAUUUACGGUCGCUAUAAUAACCAUAAUAAUUAUGAUAUAUAAGAAUAACUAUGAUUUUUGUAUAAAAAGGCACUAUACCUAUCUAAUAUACUUUACAGAAUUGAAAUUGGACUAUUUAAGCGCCCUCAGGAAUAUUUUAAAAUUAUAAAAAAUUGUUUUGCUUAUAAACAAAUAGAAUAUUUUGGCAACUGUUAAAUUAAAUUAUGAAAACGAUAUUGAAAAGAACGUGGCAUGACGCUUCUUUUAAAAGAAAAAACGUUUAAUUGCGAUGAGUGGUUCCUGAGAUACAACCCGUCAAAGUUCACCGGCAUGUACGGCGAUGAUAUAAACAAUAGGAUGAUAAGUUUCGAACCAUCGCUUUUUUAUUUCGGUCCUCUUUCUCCACACAAAUUUUCAUAUCUUUAAAAGAAACAUAACAUAUAAUAUAAUAAUAAAAACUAUCCAUAUUACGAGUAAAAAAUACCAAAAUUCCAAUCAAAAAUUAGGUUGGAGAAAAUGGAAUCUCAAAGUUCAAAAUCAAUAUACGUUAAAAAAAAUGCAUUUUCUCAGCUUCCCAUGGAGCAAUUUUCUUAAUUUUUUUUGGUUCCCAAGUAACAUGAGUCGAGACAUCUAGCUAACGCAUUAUUAGUCAAAGUUGCUUUUGUUUUGUUAUAAUAAAUUUAUUUAUUUAUAAGAACAUAAAACUACAUAUUUUUCCAGUUAUAGACUUUUUUUAUAUAAAUUUACCAUAAGUUUACCUUUUAACGUUUGAAAUACAAAUAUUCUCAUUUAAAAGCUGUAUAAUUAUUUAAACAAUCUUGUUUUAAAUAAAUUAAAAGUUGUGUUAUAAUAAAUAAUUUAUUUAUUAUAACAAGACAAAAGCAACUUUGACAUUUAGUAAUGUGUUAGUUAGGUGGCUCUACCCGAGUUACUUGGGAACAAAAAAAAAUGAAGAAAAUUGCUCAAUGGGAAGCUGAGAAAAUGCAUUUUUUUAACGUAUACUGAUUUUGAACUUUGUGAUUCCAUUUUCUCCAACCUGAUUUUUGAUUUAAAUUUUGGUAUUUUUCACUCGUACCGAUGGUCUUUAAUUUCUACCGAUGGGUUUUUAUUAAUAUAAUAUAUGUUAUGAGUCUUUUAAAGAUAUGAAAAUUUGUGUGGAGAAAGAGUACCGAAAUAAAAAGGUAAUAUUUCAAAAAUUGCCAUCCUAUUAUUUAUAUCUUCGCCGUACAUGCCGGUCAACUUUGACCGGUUGUAUGUCAGGAACCACUCAUCGCAAUUAAACGUUUUUUCUUUUAAAAGAAGCGUCCUGCCGCGUUCUCUCCAAUACCGUUUUUAUAAUUUAAUUUAAUAGUUGGCGAGAUAUUCUAUUUGUUUAUAAGCCAAAAAAUUGAUUAUAAUUUUAAAAUAGUCCUGAGGCCGCUUAUAUAGUCCAAUUUCAAUUCCGUAAAGUACAUUAGAUAGAGUGCCUUUUUAUACAAGAAUCAUAGUUAAUCUUAUGUAUCAUAAUUAUUAUGGUUAUUAUAGCGACCGUAAAUUUUUAAUUAAUAAUAUAAUUGUUGCUAAAGUGUUCAUUCAAUUUCCAUCGACUUACCAUCGACAAUAUAAUCUAUACCAAAAGGGAUUUUAUGUCACCAAGUUAUUUAAUCAUUGAUAAAUAAUUACUUACCUAAAAUUUUAGUUGAAAAUUAAAGAUUUUGUUGGAAAAUUUUCUUCGAAGUAAAUCGGGAAAACCUGUCUCUAUGCAGAAUUUAAUUACAGUGAAAUUUUAUUUGGGCGUUUUUGGUGUAAAGUUAAAAUUUUUGAAGUUAUAGAGCAAUAAUUAAAAAAAAACACAAUUUGGGGGCGCCAUUAAUAUAUAUAUAUAUAUAUAUAUAUAUAUAUAUAUAUAUAUAUAUAUAUAUAUAUAUAUAUAUAUAUAUAUAGUAAAUUUAAAAUCAAGAUGCAGAAGAAAUAAACAAACCAAGACACGGUAAAUGCUACUAGGAGCACUCCCGAAUCAUAAUUUACAAUGUAUAAACUUUGGAAAUCAUGAUUUGGGAUUUCCAAAGUUUAUACAUUGUAAAUUAUGAUUUGGGAGUGCUCCUAGUAGCAUUUAACGUGUCUUGGGUUUGUUUAUCACUAGUGCAUCUUGAUUGUAAAUUUAGUAUAGAAUCAUAAGAUUCGAUUCAAGCAAUAAAAUUGCUGGUAAAUAACUUUUCUUUGUAUUUUGCUAUUUAGCCCAGAGUAUAGUAGAAUUUUAGGGUUAUACCAUUUAUUUAGUACAUUUAUGCAGUAUACGUAUGAUCAUUUUUUAUAUUAUAUAUUAUUUAUCACCGUGCCUUUAAAGUAUUUUGCAAUUAUUUAUAUUGAAGUCAACUUCAUCUAGUUCUCCACGCCUAUAUCUUUCAGGUCUCCUGCUAUAUUAUCUCGCCACCGGAGUCCGCGUGGUCUUCUUCCAGUUGGGACUUCCUCCCAUACUAGCCUUACUGUUCUUUGGUCAGAAUAUCUUCUGAGGUGUCCUGCCUAUCAGAGUCUUCUGGACUUUAUUUCUUUUAUUAUGUUGGCGUCUGGGUAUAGUUCUUAGAGCUCUUUGACCAGCUGCUUCAAGCACAGGCCCAAAGAUUUCUUCCUUAUGAUUUUUCUUUCCAAACGUAGUUUCUUUUCGUUUGUUUUUGUUAUCGUCCACGUUUCGCUGUCAUGCAUCAUUACGGGUCGUAUGAUUGUUUCAUAUAGUUGUAUCGUUUUUUUCUUUGUUUCGAUUUUAUAAGGUUUUGAAGGACCUUGUCUUCAGUUAUUGUUGUUCCAAGAUACUUAAAUUUUCUAACGCGCUCAUCGAUGGUGAAGUUCUGACCGAUCCUGCCUCUGAUUUGGUUAUUGCGGCUCAUAUACAUAUAUUUCGCUUUACUUUCAUUGAUUAGGAGCUCCAUCUUCUCUGCUUCCCUCUGGAAUCUGACGAAAGACUCCAUCAUUAAUCUGGUAUUUCCUAUUAGAACGAUAUCGUCUGCAAAUGCAGAACAAACAGUAAGUUUGGUCCUUCUCGAUGAAAUACUGUAGUCGGUUUUUCGAUUCUUGCACUUAUGAUGUGUUCCAGAGCUAAGUUGAAGAGUUCAUGCGAGGAUACUCCAGUAAAAUGUAUAAUCACACAAAAUAAAUGAAGUCUAUGGUUUUCCAUGGAAAAUAUGGUUUUCCAAUAAAAUUAAGAUGUCGACCAUAGCUAUGAUAGAGGAGAUAUGGAAUCUGUUUAGCAAAGAUGAUUAUAAAGACGUUUUAAAAAAAUUACCUCUUAUUUAUGAGCUACGUUAUGUUAUAAUAUUUUAUUUAUUUCCUAUUAUACUCAUUUCUUAUUUGGAAUAAAGUAAUUUUUUACCGUUCAAACUUCUUCAUAAUAUAAGCUUUAAGUCAUUACUAUAAUAGUUUUUUUUUUAAUUUUUUGGAUAUGUAGAAAGUGCAGUUCCAAAUCAAUUUAAAGACUACGUUUUACAGAAUUGACAGUAUUGUGAUUAUAUAAUAUAAAUUUAUAUUGUAAGUUAUAUUAAAAUAUAUAAUUUAUAAACUUUUUUUAAAUUACAAUAAAUUCAAAUUUCAACCUC